This 268-nucleotide unclassified non-coding RNA is filed under the name uncultured fungus. RNAcentral describes it as "sequence contains ITS2". The stretch from base 1 to 52 matches the Rfam family "5.8S ribosomal RNA", at positions 103 to 154 of the family's 154-position model. The record is from RNAcentral. Lineage: Eukaryota; Fungi.
AACGCACAUUGCGCCCGCCAGUAUUCUGGCGGGCAUGCCUGUCCGAGCGUCAUUUCAACCCUCGAACCCCUCCGGGGGUCCGGCGUUGGGGAUCGGGAACCCCUAAGACGGGAUCCCGGCCCCGAAAUACAGUGGCGGUCUCGCCGCAGCCUCUCCUGCGCAGUAGUUUGCACAACUCGCACCGGGAGCGCGGCGCGUCCACGUCCGUAAAACACCCAACUUCUGAAAUGUUGACCUCGGAUCAGGUAGGAAUACCCGCUGAACUUAA